UUGCCAGACUCCUACGGGAGGCAGCAGUGGGGAAUAUUGCACAAUGGGGGAAACCCUGAUGCAGCGACGCCGCGUGAGUGAAGAAGUAAUUCGUUCUGUAAAGCUCUAUCAGCAGGGAAGAAAAUGACGGUACCUGAGUAAGAAGCCCCGGCUAACUACGUGCCAGCAGCCGCGGUAAUACGUAGGGGGCAAGCGUUAUCCGGAUUUAUUGGGUUUAAAGGGUGCGUAGGCGGUAUUUUAAGUUAGUGGUAAAACGUCGGGGCUUCACCUUGAUUGGCCAUUAAAACUGGAGUACUAGAGUACAGACGAGGUAGGCGGAAUAAGUUAAGUAGCGGUGAAAUGCUUAGAUAUAACUUAGAACCCCGAUAGCGAAGGCAGCUUGCCAGACUGUUACUGACGCUGAAGCACGAGAGCGUGGGUAGCGAACAGGAU
Molecule: ribosomal RNA, 432 nt
Filed under: uncultured bacterium
Lineage: Bacteria
Description: bacterial SSU rRNA
Rfam family: Bacterial small subunit ribosomal RNA
Source: RNAcentral